This 253-nucleotide ribosomal RNA is filed under the name uncultured bacterium. Its description in RNAcentral is "partial 16S ribosomal RNA". It matches the Rfam family "Bacterial small subunit ribosomal RNA", at positions 524 to 776 of the family's 1533-position model. The record is from RNAcentral.
UACGAAGGGGGCGAGCGUUGUUCGGAUUUACUGGGCGUAAAGGGCGCGUAGGCGGCCGAUCAAGUCAGGCGUGAAAGCCCCGGGCUCAACCUGGGAGGUGCGCUUGGGACUGGUUGGCUUGAGUUCGGGAGAGGAGAGUGGAAUUCCCAGUGUAGAGGUGAAAUUCGUAGAUAUUGGGAAGAACACCGGUGGCGAAGGCGGCUCUCUGGACCGAGACUGACGCUGAGGCGCGAAAGCUAGGGGAGCAAACGGG